UACGUAGGGGGCAAGCGUUGUCCGGAAUCAUUGGGCGUAAAGAGCGCGUAGGCGGUCCGGUAAGUCCGCUCUGAAAGCCCCCGGCUCAACUGGGGAGGGUCACGCGAUACUGAUCGGCUCGAAGGCAGGAGAGGGAAGUGGAAUUCCCGGUGUAGUGGUGAAAUGCGCAGAUAUCGGGAGGAACACCGGUGGCGAAGGCGGUUCUCUGGGCCUUACCUGACGCUGAGGAGCGAAAGCGUGGGGAGCGAACAGG
This 253-nucleotide ribosomal RNA is filed under the name uncultured bacterium. Its description in RNAcentral is "partial 16S ribosomal RNA". It matches the Rfam family "Bacterial small subunit ribosomal RNA", at positions 524 to 776 of the family's 1533-position model. The record is from RNAcentral.